This 483-nucleotide small RNA is filed under the name Pongo abelii (Sumatran orangutan). RNAcentral's name for it is "processed transcript". Lineage: Eukaryota; Metazoa; Chordata; Mammalia; Primates; Hominidae. The record is from RNAcentral.
AUUCCUUGCUCCCGGCCGAGGAGCGCUCGGGCUGUCUGCGGACCCUGCCGCGUGCAGGGGUCGCGGCCGGCUGGAGCUGGGAGUGAGGCGGCGGAGGAGCCAGGAAGGCAGUUGGUGGGAAGUCCAGCCUGGGUCCCUGAGAGCUGUGAGAAGGAGAUGUGGCUGCUGCUGGCCCUGUUGGGGGUCCUGCUGAGUGUGCCUGGGCCUCCAGUCUUGUCCCUGGAGGCCUCUGAGGAAGUGGAGCUGGGAGGCUGCCUCAGAUGGGGCUGCGGGGUCUGCUGACUUCUGCCCUCUGCCCUCUGCCCACAGAGCCCUGCCUGGCUCCCAGCCUGGAGCAGCAAGAGCAGGAGCUGACAGUAGCCCUUGGGCAGCCUGUGCGGCUGUGCUGUGGGCGGGCUGAGCGUGGUGGCCACUGGUACAAGGAGGGCAGUCGCCUGGCACCUGCCGGCCGUGUACGGGGCUGGAGGGGCCGCCUAGAGAUUG